RNAcentral lists this ribosomal RNA (431 nucleotides) under uncultured bacterium. Its description in RNAcentral is "bacterial SSU rRNA". It matches the Rfam family "Bacterial small subunit ribosomal RNA", at positions 29 to 506 of the family's 1533-position model. The record is from RNAcentral.
ACGAACGCUGGCGGCAGGCUUAACACAUGCAAGUCGAGCGCAGUAGCAAUACUGAGCGGCAGACGGGUGCGUAACACGUGGGAACAUACCUUUUGGUUUGGAAUAACUCAGGGAAACUUGAGCUAAUACCGGAUAAGCCCUUCGGGGGAAAGAUUUAUCGCCGAAAGAUUGGCCCGCGUCUGAUUAGCUAGUUGGUGGGGUAAUGGCCCACCAAGGCGACGAUCAGUAGCUGGUCUGAGAGGAUGACCAGCCACACUGGGACUGAGACACGGCCCAGACUCCUACGGGAGGCAGCAGUGGGGAAUAUUGGACAAUGGGGGCAACCCUGAUCCAGCCAUGCCGCGUGAGUGAUGAAGGCCUUAGGGUUGUAAAGCUCUUUCAGUGGGAAAGAUGAUGACGGUACCCACAGAAGAAGCCCCGGCUAACUCCGU